UACGUAGGAUGCAAGCGUUGUCCGGAAUUAUUGGGCGUAAAGAGCGCGCAGGCGGUCUAUCAAGUCAGAUGUGAAAUAUCCCGGCUUAACCGGGAGGGGUCAUCUGAAACUGGUAGACUAGAGUACAGCAGAGGAUAGUGGAAUUCCCGGUGUAGUGGUGAAAUGCGUAGAUAUCGGGAGGAACACCAGUGGCGAAGGCGACUAUCUGGGCUGAAACUGACGCUGAGGCGCGAAGGCUAGGGGAGCAAACAGG
Molecule: ribosomal RNA, 253 nt
Filed under: uncultured bacterium
Lineage: Bacteria
Description: partial 16S ribosomal RNA
Rfam family: Bacterial small subunit ribosomal RNA
Source: RNAcentral